Molecule: long non-coding RNA, 1068 nt
Organism: Ruditapes philippinarum (Manila clam)
Lineage: Eukaryota; Metazoa; Mollusca; Bivalvia; Venerida; Veneridae
Exons: 2
Source: RefSeq, a predicted model, not a curated record
UUUCAAGACCGUUUUUACUUGAAGUAUUAACCCGAGCUACACUUUUUCAAAUUAUUAGAUUGAGAUGAAAUCAUGGUACUUAAAAUAUAUUUUGCUCCUAAGCAAAGCAGUAAACAGUUUCGGCUAGUGAGUUUACAAUUGGCCCGGGUCAAACUUAUUAAUAAAAUACAGUUUUAUAAUUGAAGUGGAUAGUUCGGAACAAAACGGAAUGCAUGAAAUAACUAUGAAAAAGGUGAAGCAUUUUAAAUUUAUAAAAUGCCAAGUAGCAAUUGAAAACAAUUAAGUCCUGAACAUCUAAAGGAAUCCUAAACGAUUAUUCUAGAACGUUAUAUAUGAUUUUAAAAGAAUAAAAACACAUAUAACUUGGACCGAAUACACAAAGAAUAAAAUUCAUUACAGAAGACAAUAAAUUGACUUCCCUACAAAUGUUAACAAACCAUAAUUAAAAUUUAUCAUCAUAUUGAUUUCAAUAAAUUGUCCAUUGUCUUCUGAAAGAAUCAAUUAAAAUUGUUUAUAUUUGAAAUAAAAAUAGAACUGAAGUUGUGAAAAUUCUUUCGGAUGAAGAUAAAUAAUGAUUUUAGAAAUGCAAUAUUAAAGCUACAGGACAGAAUGUUGAUUUAUGUAUUUUAGUACACCAUUUUAUCGUAAAACAGUCACUUAAACCCAGAGACCAUAGAGUGGUAUACUUAAUAUUGUUCGCGAAAAGAUGACUAUUCAUAAUGUCCACGGAUGGAAAAAGGGCAAGUGUGUUUAUUUACUGAAUAUGACGUAACAAGGACUCGACAAGAGAAUGAACAAUGUCACAGAAUUUCAGCAAAAUUGCACUUUGGCAGGGAAUGAAUGAACACGCUCAAGAUGAAAUAAGCCACAGUUUUGUGUUUUCUGCCAUUGAAACAAAACCCAAAGGGACCAUUCUUUUGUGACCUGUUAUUGCUUUCGAACAUUAUUUUUUUUAAAUGUUUAAGUUGUCCUUCUAUUGUGUGUAAAAAGUUGAUGUCUUAAAUUGACCAUUCAAUAUUUUGCUUGAAAUCAUUUUAGUGGUUUUUGGAAAAUAAAAUAUAUAUGAUA